AUCGUUGGCUCUGAUUACAUUUUGGGGGAGUCCAGAGUUAUAUCUGAUUCCUUAAUUCAGUUUUGCACUGUAGAACCAACAUGAUGAAAUCGAAGCAAAGUUCUUCGAGGAGAGUCAGAGAGCAGCACUAGAAGCUAAAUAUCAGAAAUUGUAUCAGCCUUUCUAUACCAAGCGAUAUGAGAUUGUCACUGGUGUGGUUGAAGUUGAAGGUGCACCAGAAGAAGUGAAAACAGAAAAAUGAGAAGACAAAACUGCUGAAGAUACCUGAGAUGAAGGUGCU
Molecule: long non-coding RNA, 280 nt
Organism: Brassica oleracea var. oleracea
Lineage: Eukaryota; Viridiplantae; Streptophyta; Magnoliopsida; Brassicales; Brassicaceae
Exons: 3
Source: RefSeq, a predicted model, not a curated record